Rhinopithecus roxellana (golden snub-nosed monkey) is the source of this 774-nucleotide long non-coding RNA. RefSeq lists it as uncharacterized. The transcript is spliced from 3 exons. The record is from RefSeq and is a predicted model, not a curated record. Lineage: Eukaryota; Metazoa; Chordata; Mammalia; Primates; Cercopithecidae.
AAAGUUGUUCCAAAUAUUAACUGGUCUCGUGAGAUGUCUUCUUGGCUGCAGCCUGACCAUCUAACUUACUGUUUUUCCUCCAGCUGCUGCCUCCUGCUUUCCCUCUGCUGCAGGCUGGAAUGAAGGGCGGCUGGUGGCGCGGGGGAGGAGAUGGAGGAGCAGCAAAGUUGGCCAGGGUCCUGCUGGCUGGGGGCCAGGACUGCCUCCCUAAACAAGCAAGCAGAGGCGCAUACAGCCCUGGUUUGAGUUGUUGCCCUUAAUCAUCUGGCCACAGCAGGAAUAAGAGGCUCCCGGAAAACCCUGGCUCUUGGCUAUCUCUUCCAUGAGCACACCCUGGCCCUGGGGCCUGAGAUCUCUCCAUGCAGAGGCAGCCAUGAACUGCGGGGGCAGCAGCAAGGCUGGCCACACCACCCACCCCGCCACCUCCGGCCCCGCCGCUCAACCAGCCAUCAGUCCCUUAACUGCGAGUGUUCGUGGACCAUAGAAAACAACCAACAGAUCCCAGCCAGCCUAGAAGCAGGCUCACAGUUUUCCAUGGAGGGCUUGGAUAGUAAACUGAUCCUGGAUGUUGGCGGCAUAUGCCACCUGAUCUACAUCAGCACCAUGAGGGCCUUUCCAGGUAGAAAUUCGAACAGCUUAGAGAAAUGAAGAGCAGGCUGAGUGUGGUGGCUCACGCCUGUAAUCCCACCACCUUGGGAGACUGAGGCAGAUGGAACAUCUGAGGUCAGGAGUUCAGCAGCUCCAGACCAGCCAGGGCAACAUGGUGAAAUCCUG